UCGUAGCGCGGGAAGCUGACUGAAUCCUUCGGGAGGACGUGAGUGGAACGAGCGGCGGACGGGUGAGUAACACGUGGGCAACCUGCCUGUAAGACUGGGAUAACUCCGGGAAACCGGGGCUAAUACCGGAUAGUACUUUGGUUCAUAGGAACCGAAGUGGAAAGGUGGCGCAAGCUACCACUUACAGAUGGGCCCGCGGUGCAUUAGCUAGUUGGUGAGGUAACGGCUCACCAAGGCAACGAUGCAUAGCCGACCUGAGAGGGUGAUCGGCCACACUGGGACUGAGACACGGCCCAGACUCCUACGGGAGGCAGCAGUAGGGAAUCUUCCGCAAUGGACGAAAGUCUGACGGAGCAACGCCGCGUGAACGAAGAAGGUUUUCGGAUCGUAAAGUUCUGUUGUUAGGGAAGAACAAGUACCGUUCGAAUAGGGCGGUACCUUGACGGUACCUAUCGAGGAAGCCCCGGCUAACUACGUGCCAGCAGCCGCGGUAAUACGUAGGGGGCAAGCGUUGUCCGGAAUUAUUGGGCGUAAAGCGCGCGUAGGCGGUUUCUUAAGUCUGAUGUGAAAUCUUGCGGCUCAACCGCAAGCGGUCAUUGGAAACUGGGGAACUUGAGUACAGAAGAGGAGAGCGGAAUUCCACGUGUAGCGGUGAAAUGCGUAGAGAUGUGGAGGAACACCAGUGGCGAAGGCGGCUCUCUGGUCUGUAACUGACGCUGAGGUGCGAAAGCGUGGGGAGCGAACAGGAUUAGAUACCCUGGUAGUCCACGCCGUAAACGAUGAGUGCUAGGUGUUACGGGGUUUCCGCCCCUUAGUGCUGCA
Molecule: ribosomal RNA, 822 nt
Filed under: Gracilibacillus sp.
Lineage: Bacteria; Bacillati; Bacillota; Bacilli; Caryophanales; Bacillaceae
Description: bacterial SSU rRNA
Rfam family: Bacterial small subunit ribosomal RNA
Source: RNAcentral